UGAAAAGUAUUAUAUCCCUAGGUCUUUUGC
Molecule: non-coding RNA, 30 nt
Filed under: Homo sapiens (human)
Lineage: Eukaryota; Metazoa; Chordata; Mammalia; Primates; Hominidae
Source: RNAcentral